UGGCGGACGGGUGAGUAACGCGUAGGCAAUCUGCCUUCUAGAUGGGGACAACAUCCCGAAAGGGGUGCUAAUACCGAAUGUUGUAUGAUCUUCGCAUGGAGAUGGUACUAAAGGUGGCCUCUGAAUAUGCUACCGCUAGAAGAUGAGCCUGCGUCUGAUUAGCUAGUUGGAGGGGUAACGGCCCACCAAGGCAACGAUCAGUAGCCGGUCUGAGAGGAUGAACGGCCACACUGGGACUGAGACACGGCCCAGACUCCUACGGGAGGCAGCAGUGGGGAAUCUUCCGCAAUGGACGAAAGUCUGACGGAGCAACGCCGCGUGAGUGAAGAAGGUUUUCGGAUCGUAAAGCUCUUUCGUUAGGGACGAACGUGCUCUUUGUGAAUAAUGAGGAGUAAUGACGGUACCUAAAUAAGAAGCCACGGCUAACUACGUGCCAGCAGCCGCGGUAAU
RNAcentral lists this ribosomal RNA (450 nucleotides) under uncultured bacterium. RNAcentral describes it as "bacterial SSU rRNA". It matches the Rfam family "Bacterial small subunit ribosomal RNA", at positions 96 to 524 of the family's 1533-position model. The record is from RNAcentral.